GCCUUCGUGGUAUAAUGGCCAGUACACUCGGCGCGCAUUUGAGAGGUCCGAGGUUCGAGUCCCGGCUAGGGCA
Stegodyphus mimosarum is the source of this 73-nucleotide non-coding RNA. The record is from Rfam. NCBI's taxonomy places the organism in Eukaryota, Metazoa, Arthropoda, Arachnida, Araneae, Eresidae.